Molecule: non-coding RNA, 73 nt
Organism: Trichechus manatus latirostris (Florida manatee)
Lineage: Eukaryota; Metazoa; Chordata; Mammalia; Sirenia; Trichechidae
Source: the annotation of a RefSeq genome assembly
GCCUCCUUAGCUCAGUAGGUAGGGCAUCAGUCUCAUAAUCUGAAGGUCCCGAGUUCAAAUCUCAGAGGGGGCU